CCUACGGGAGGCAGCAGUAGGGAAUCUUUCACAAUGGGCGAAAGCCUGAUGGAGCAACGCCGCGUGCAGGAUGACGGCCUUCGGGUUGUAAACUGCUUUUAUAAGCGAGAAAUAUGAUGGUAACUUAUGAAUAAGGAUCGGCUAACUACGUGCCAGCAACCGCGGUCAUACGUAGGAUCCGAGCAUUAUCCGGAGUGACUGGGUGUAAAGAGUUGCGUAGGUGGCAUAAUAAGUAGCUAGUGAAAUCUGGUGGCUCAACCAUUCAGACUAUUAGCUAAACUGUUAAGCUCGAGACCGUUAGGGGUAACUGGAAUUUGUAGUGUAGGAGUGAAAUCCGUAGAUAUUAGAAGGAACACCAAUAGCGUAGGCAGGUUGCUGGGACGGUUCUGACACUAAGGCACGAAAGCGUAGGGAGCAAACGGGAUUAGAUACCCGUGUAGUC
This 442-nucleotide ribosomal RNA is filed under the name uncultured bacterium. Its description in RNAcentral is "partial 16S ribosomal RNA". It matches the Rfam family "Bacterial small subunit ribosomal RNA", at positions 338 to 795 of the family's 1533-position model. The record is from RNAcentral.